GAAAUCUUAGGUAAAUCCGGGGUUUCAAGGCCGAGAGCUGAUGACGAGUCGUCUUUUAGAUGACGAAGUGGUUGAUGCCAUGCUUCCAAGAAAAGCUUCUAAGCUUCAGGUAACCAGGAACCGUACCCCAAACCGACACAGGUGGUCGGGUAGAGAAUACCAAGGCGCUUGAGAGAACUCGGGUGAAGGAACUAGGCAAAAUGGCACCGUAACUUCGGGAGAAGGUGCGCCGGCUAGGGUGAAGGAUUUACUCCGUAAGCUCUGGCUGGUCGAAGAUACCAGGCCGCUGCGACUGUUUAUUAAAAACACAGCACUCUGCAAACACGAAAGUGGACGUAUAGGGUGUGACGCCUGCCCGGUGCCGGAAGGUUAAUUGAUGGGGUUAGCGCAAGCGAAGCUCUUGAUCGAAGCCCCGGUAAACGGCGGCCGUAACAAUAACGGUCCUAAGGUAGCGAAAUUCCUUGUCGGGUAAGUUCCGACCUGCACGAAUGGCGUAACGAUGGCGGCGCUGUCUCCACCCGAGACUCAGUGAAAUUGAAAUCGCUGUGAAGAUGCAGUGUAUCCGCGGCUAGACGGAAAGACCCCGUGAACCUUUACUGUAGCUCUGCACUGGACUUUGAGCCUGCUUGUGUAGGAUAGGUGGGAGGCUUUGAAGCGUGGACGCCAGUUCGCGUGGAGCCAUCCUUGAAAUACCACCCUGGCAUGCUUGAGGUUCUAACUCUGGUCCGUAAUCCGGAUCGAGGACAGUGUAUGGUGGGCAGUUUGACUGGGGCGGUCUCCUCCUAAAGAGUAACGGAGGAGUACGAAGGUGCGCUCAGACCGGUCGGAAAUCGGUCGCAGAGUAUAAAGGCAAAAGCGCGCUUGACUGCGAGACAGACACGUCGAGCAGGUACGAAAGUAGGUCUUAGUGAUCCGGUGGUUCUGUAUGGAAGGGCCAUCGCUCAACGGAUAAAAGGUACUCCGGGGAUAACAGGCUGAUACCGCCCAAGAGUUCAUAUCGACGGCGGUGUUUGGCACCUCGAUGUCGGCUCAUCACAUCCUGGGGCUGAAGCCGGUCCCAAGGGUAUGGCUGUUCGCCAUUUAAAGUGGUACGCGAGCUGGGUUUAGAACGUCGUGAGACAGUUCGGUCCCUAUCUGCCGUGGACGUUUGAGAUUAGAGAGGGGCUGCUCCUAGUACGAGAGGACCGGAGUGGACGAACCUCUGGUGUUCCGGUUGUCACGCCAGUGGCAUUGCCGGGUAGCUAUGUUCGGAAAAGAUAACCGCUGAAAGCAUCUAAACGGGAAACUUGCCUCAAGAUGAGAUCUCACUGGGAACUUGAUUCCCCUGAAGGGCCGUCGAAGACUACGACGUUGAUAGGCUGGGUGUGUAAGCGUUGUGAGGCGUUGAGCUAACCAGUACUAAUUGCCCGUGAGGCUUGAUC
Molecule: ribosomal RNA, 1421 nt
Filed under: metagenome
Description: bacterial LSU rRNA
Rfam family: Bacterial large subunit ribosomal RNA
Source: RNAcentral